GCCGGUGUAGCUCAGUGGUAGAGCAACUGUCUUGUAAACAGUAGGUCGUCGGUUCGAUCCCGACCAUCGGCU
RNAcentral lists this transfer RNA (72 nucleotides) under Pseudonocardia sp. C8. It matches the Rfam family "tRNA". Rfam says of the family: Transfer RNA (tRNA) molecules are approximately 80 nucleotides in length. Their secondary structure includes four short double-helical elements and three loops (D, anti-codon, and T loops). Lineage: Bacteria; Bacillati; Actinomycetota; Actinomycetes; Pseudonocardiales; Pseudonocardiaceae. The record is from Rfam by way of RNAcentral.